RNAcentral lists this ribosomal RNA (552 nucleotides) under uncultured Alphaproteobacteria bacterium. Its description in RNAcentral is "bacterial SSU rRNA". It matches the Rfam family "Bacterial small subunit ribosomal RNA", at positions 835 to 1384 of the family's 1533-position model. The record is from RNAcentral. Lineage: Bacteria; Pseudomonadati; Pseudomonadota; Alphaproteobacteria.
GCGGCCCGGUGGCGCAGCUAACGCGUUAAGCACCCCGCCUGGGGAGUACGGUCGCAAGAUUAAAACUCAAAGGAAUUGACGGGGACCCGCACAAGCGGUGGAGCAUGUGGUUUAAUUCGAGGCAACGCGAAGAACCUUACCAGACCUUGACAUGCCGGUCGCGGGGAGCAGAGAUGCACCCCUUCAGCUUGGCUGGACCGUGCACAGGUGCUGCACGGCUGUCGUCAGCUCGUGUCGUGAGAUGUUGGGUUAAGUCCCGCAACGAGCGCAACCCUCGUCCUUAGUUGCCAUCAGUUCGGCUGGGAACUCUAAGGAAACUGCCGGCGUUAAGCCGGAGGAAGGUGGGGAUGACGUCAAGUCCUCAUGGCCCUUAUGGUCUGGGCUACACACGUGCUACAAUGGCGGUGACAAUGGGAUGCGAGCCCGCGAGGGUGAGCGAAUCUCAAAAAGCCGUCCCAGUUCGGAUUGCAGGCUGCAACUCGCCUGCAUGAAGUUGGAAUCGCUAGUAAUCGUAGAUCAGCAUGCUACGGUGAAUACGUUCCCGGGUCUUGC